AGAGUUUGAUCCUGGCUCAGGACGAACGCUGGCGGCGUGCCUAACACAUGCAAGUCGAGCGAAGUUUAUUUAGCAGCGACUUCGGUCAAAGCUGAUUAAACUUAGCGGCGAACGGGUGAGUAACACGUAGGCAGCCUGCCCACGACACGGGGAUAGCUUCGGGAAACCGGAGGUAAUACCCGAUACCUUUACUUAUUGCAUGAUAAGUAAAGAAAGCGAAUAGCGGUCAUGGAUGGGCCUGCGUCCCAUUAGCUAGUUGGUGAGAUAACAGCCCACCAAGGCGACGAUGGGUAGCCGACCUGAGAGGGUGACCGGCCACACUGGAACUGAGACACGGUCCAGACUCCUACGGGAGGCAGCAGUGGGGAAUCUUGCGCAAUGGGCGAAAGCCUGACGCAGCGACGCCGCGUGAGCGAAGAAGGCCUUCGGGUCGUAAAGCUCAGUCAUUGGGGAUGAGAUGACAGUACCCAAGGAGGAAGCCCCGGCUAACUACGUGCCAGCAGCCGCGGUAAUACGUAGGGGGCGAGCGUUGUCCGGAAUUACUGGGUGUAAAGGGCGUGUAGGCGGGGGUGCAAGUUACCGGUAAAAACCCAGGGCUCAACUCUGGGCUUGCCGGUAAAACUGCAUCUCUUGAGUGUAGGAGAGGGAAGUGGAAUUCCCGGAGUAGCGGUGAAAUGCGUAGAUACCGGGAGGAACACCAGUGGCGAAGGCGGCUUCCUGGCCUACAACUGACGCUGAGGCGCGACAGCUAGGGUAGCGAACGGGAUUAGAUACCCCGGUAGUCCUAGCCGUAAACGAUGGUCACUAGGUGUGGGGUGGUGGUCAAGCCAUCCGUGCCGGAGCUAACGCAAUAAGUGACCCACCUGGGGAGUACGGGCCGCAAGGCUGAAACUCAAAUGGAAUUGACGG
RNAcentral lists this ribosomal RNA (909 nucleotides) under uncultured bacterium. Its description in RNAcentral is "bacterial SSU rRNA". It matches the Rfam family "Bacterial small subunit ribosomal RNA", at positions 8 to 916 of the family's 1533-position model. The record is from RNAcentral.